GAUGAACGCUGGCGGCGUGCCUAAUACAUGCCAGUCGAGCGAACAGACGAGGAGCUUGCUCCUCUGACGUUAGCGGCGGACGGGUGAGUAACACGUGGAUAACCUACCUAUAAGACUGGGAUAACUUCGGGAAACCGGAGCUAAUACCGGAUAAUAUAUUGAACCGCAUGGUUCAAUAGUGAAAGACGGUUUUGCUGUCACUUAUAGAUGGAUCCGCGCCGCAUUAGCUAGUUGGUAAGGUAACGGUUUACCAAGGCAACGAUGCGUAGCCGACCUGAGAGGGUGAUCGGCCACACUGGAACUGAGACACGGUCCAGACUCCUACGGGAGGCAGCAGUAGGGAAUCUUCCGCAAUGGGCGAAAGCCUGACGGAGCAACGCCGCGUGAGUGAUGAAGGUCUUCGGAUCGUAAAACUCUGUUAUUAGGGAAGAACAAAUGUGUAAGUAACUAUGCACGUCUUGACGGUACCUAAUCAGAAAGCCACGGCUAACUACGUG
RNAcentral lists this ribosomal RNA (497 nucleotides) under uncultured bacterium. RNAcentral describes it as "partial 16S ribosomal RNA". It matches the Rfam family "Bacterial small subunit ribosomal RNA", at positions 28 to 507 of the family's 1533-position model. The record is from RNAcentral.